GACGAACGCUGGCGGCGUGCCUAAUACAUGCAAGUUGAGCGCUGAAGGUUGGUACUUGUACCAACUGGAUGAGCAGCGAACGGGUGAGUAACGCGUGGGGAAUCUGCCUUUGAGCGGGGGACAACAUUUGGAAACGAAUGCUAAUACCGCAUAAAAAUUUUAAACACAAGUUUUAAGUUUGAAAGAUGCAAUUGCAUCACUCAAAGAUGAUCCCGCGUUGUAUUAGCUAGUUGGUGAGGUAAAGGCUCACCAAGGCGAUGAUACAUAGCCGACCUGAGAGGGUGAUCGGCCACAUUGGGACUGAGACACGGCCCAAACUCCUACGGGAGGCAGCAGUAGGGAAUCUUCGGCAAUGGACGAAAGUCUGACCGAGCGACGCCGCGGGAGUGAAGAAGGUUUUCGGAUCGUAAAACUCUGUUGGUAGAGAAGAACGUUGGUGAGAGUGGAAAGCUCAUCAAGUGACGGUAACUACCCAGAAAGGGACGGCUAACUACGUG
This 497-nucleotide ribosomal RNA is filed under the name uncultured bacterium. RNAcentral's name for it is "partial 16S ribosomal RNA". It matches the Rfam family "Bacterial small subunit ribosomal RNA", at positions 28 to 507 of the family's 1533-position model. The record is from RNAcentral.